UACGGAGGGUGCAAGCGUUAUCCGGAUUCACUGGGUUUAAAGGGUGCGUAGGAGGGCAGGUAAGUCAGUGGUGAAAUCUCCAAGCUUAACUUGGAAACUGCCGUUGAUACUAUCUGUCUUGAAUAUUGUGGAGGUGAGCGGAAUAUGUCAUGUAGCGGUGAAAUGCCUAGAUAUGACAUAGAACACCAAUUGCGAAGGCAGCUCACUACUCAAUCAUUGACUCUGAGGCACGAAAGCGUGGGGAUCAAACAGG
Molecule: ribosomal RNA, 253 nt
Filed under: uncultured bacterium
Lineage: Bacteria
Description: partial 16S ribosomal RNA
Rfam family: Bacterial small subunit ribosomal RNA
Source: RNAcentral